This is a long non-coding RNA of Bufo gargarizans (Asiatic toad), 1384 nucleotides long. RefSeq lists it as uncharacterized. NCBI's taxonomy places the organism in Eukaryota, Metazoa, Chordata, Amphibia, Anura, Bufonidae. The transcript has 4 exons. The record is from RefSeq and is a predicted model, not a curated record.
GAUAAAGCACAGAAUGCUUUGAAGGCUGGGACACAUAUGGCAUGCAGGCCGAGAAACCAGACUUGAUUGGCUUGCAGAGAUGCUGAAUGUAAUAUUUGGAUACUUAUGAUCCUGUACAAGACGGGAUUGGCCGGCGCUCCCCGGGUGGCAUCGGUGGAUUCUUGCCGUGGAUGUACAAUAAUAAACAUCUGUGGACGUCAACGUCUUGGGAGGAAACUGGAUUCUUGGCUACAAGUUCUGAGGAUAUAUUUGGAGCAAGUAUCUAUUCAUUGCUUCUACAAACCCCCCCCCCAUCAUGGAUAAAUAGGAUUGGAAUUUGGAAAGCCUUCUGCCGAGUAACCGCAUUCACUCAUCCGGAAAAUAUGUUUUUUUUUUCUCUGCCGUAUUCCUCAUCUGAUGGAUAUUUCCAAAUAAAUGCAAUGCUUCUUAUAUCACUGGACACGUGUGCCGAUCUGCAGCCCGCAGAUACAGCGCCGGUACAGCCACCGCACAGCUAAGUUGUCGCCUUCCUCCAGCACGUUGCCAUCAAGAUCAUUUACUGAAUGACAGCCGAGCUGCAUCAGCAAAUAUCUGCAAUAUUUGCCUUCAUAGCAUCUGAAGGGCACCUGUCACUUGCAGAUUUGACGGAUGGACCAUCAAGCUUCUUCGAAGUCUACAAUUUGGCCCUUUACAAAGCCUGUUAAUUGCAUAAAUGGUGCACGCCUUCGUCUAGCAGUGAACAGUCCAACAACAGCCAAUCAACAGUGCUGUAAGAGAAAAAAUGAAAAACAGUGAUGUCAGACAAAAAACAACAGUGAUGCAAAAAAAAGUCUGUAGAGCUUCUUUAUGUAAAGAAAGGAUCUUGGCAUGUUGAUCACUACAUGUAACACCCCCAUCAUUGCCAUAUUGUAUAAUAUGCUUUUUCACUUAAAUUCUUCUAGGUGUUAUUUUGUUUCAUUUUCCAGUAGUGUACAUCCACCAGCCACUUUGUGGUCUUGCCUGAUAUAGAAAUGAUGUCCCUGGUGCCAGGUGAACUGAGAUACCUCCCUAGUUGUGGGACAUGACUGGUCAAUUCAAUAGGUGUAAGUGAUCUCAGUAAAUACGCCUAAUGGACAAAUGAGUGAGCCUGAGGGCAUGCCCAUCGCACUUUCUUGCCUCUCCAUAGACAUAACAUGCGUAUCACCAAUAGGGUUGGGAUAAGCUUCUUCUCUGUGACUUUCGCACUGCUUAUCUUAGGAAAAGUAAUGGGUUUAGACAGGUAAAAAUCAUAUAUGUUGGAUCCUUGUUUCUCUGUUAUUGAAGACAUCCACUAACUGAUCAUACCUUAUAAAUAUGAAUGGAGAUGUAUACUUUUGCAAACAACUUUUACUGGUCAAAUAUAUGUAAAAUAAAACAAUGAAGCAAU